ACGGGGCGCAGCAGGCGCGAAAACUUCACAAUGGGCGAAAGCCCGAUGAGCGGAAUUCCUAGUGCUAGCACAUUUGUGUUAGCUUAUUCCUUAGCGUAGAUAACUAGGGGAAUAAGGGCUGGGUAAGACGGGUGCCAGCCGCCGCGGUAAU
This 151-nucleotide ribosomal RNA is filed under the name uncultured methanogenic archaeon. RNAcentral describes it as "partial 16S ribosomal RNA". It matches the Rfam family "Archaeal small subunit ribosomal RNA", at positions 325 to 474 of the family's 1478-position model. Lineage: Archaea; Methanobacteriati; Methanobacteriota. The record is from RNAcentral.